This 973-nucleotide ribosomal RNA is filed under the name Microbacterium sp. RNAcentral describes it as "bacterial SSU rRNA". It matches the Rfam family "Bacterial small subunit ribosomal RNA", at positions 440 to 1423 of the family's 1533-position model. The record is from RNAcentral. Lineage: Bacteria; Bacillati; Actinomycetota; Actinomycetes; Micrococcales; Microbacteriaceae.
CAGGGAAGAAGCGAAAGUGACGGUACCUGCAGAAAAAGCGCCGGCUAACUACGUGCCAGCAGCCGCGGUAAUACGUAGGGCGCAAGCGUUAUCCGGAAUUAUUGGGCGUAAAGAGCUCGUAGGCGGUUUGUCGCGUCUGCUGUGAAAACCCGAGGCUCAACCUCGGGCCUGCAGUGGGUACGGGCAGACUAGAGUGCGGUAGGGGAGAUUGGAAUUCCUGGUGUAGCGGUGGAAUGCGCAGAUAUCAGGAGGAACACCGAUGGCGAAGGCAGAUCUCUGGGCCGUAACUGACGCUGAGGAGCGAAAGGGUGGGGAGCAAACAGGCUUAGAUACCCUGGUAGUCCACCCCGUAAACGUUGGGAACUAGUUGUGGGGUCCAUUCCACGGAUUCCGUGACGCAGCUAACGCAUUAAGUUCCCCGCCUGGGGAGUACGGCCGCAAGGCUAAAACUCAAAGGAAUUGACGGGGACCCGCACAAGCGGCGGAGCAUGCGGAUUAAUUCGAUGCAACGCGAAGAACCUUACCAAGGCUUGACAUAUACGAGAACGGGCCAGAAAUGGUCAACUCUUUGGACACUCGUAAACAGGUGGUGCAUGGUUGUCGUCAGCUCGUGUCGUGAGAUGUUGGGUUAAGUCCCGCAACGAGCGCAACCCUCGUUCUAUGUUGCCAGCACGUAAUGGUGGGAACUCAUGGGAUACUGCCGGGGUCAACUCGGAGGAAGGUGGGGAUGACGUCAAAUCAUCAUGCCCCUUAUGUCUUGGGCUUCACGCAUGCUACAAUGGCCGGUACAAAGGGCUGCAAUACCGCAAGGUGGAGCGAAUCCCAAAAAGCCGGUCCCAGUUCGGAUUGAGGUCUGCAACUCGACCUCAUGAAGUCGGAGUCGCUAGUAAUCGCAGAUCAGCAACGCUGCGGUGAAUACGUUCCCGGGUCUUGUACACACCGCCCGUCAAGUCAUGAAAGUCGGUAACACCUG